AGCAUCUCUGCGUUCUGAGGAAGGCACUUCCCAAUCUCUUGUGUGCCUCCUGGACAUCUCCCUAAUUUGAAACAGAACCACUACCACCCCAUGAAGCCUUUGAAAAUAAUUGAGGCAAAAAAGCUCCUACUAUGAGGACACCGUGCUUUAAUGAGUCUAACUGAAGGAAAAGGUGUAACAGUGGUGGAAUUGGUGAUAGAAAUUGUGCCAGAGAAGGAUGAAGAGUAAAACAGGACUGUUGGUGUUGAAAAUACCUUGCAGUUUCAGCAUGGUUCUGCCCUUCCUCUGGAAAAGGAUCUGGCCCAAUGUGAACCCUGAAUAUUGCAACAAAACACCCACUGAAAGAAGAGAGAGGAGAGAGAGAGAAUCGGUGCCAACUUUUCUUCUUAAGCGAAAGAACUUCCUCACUCAGGCAGCAAGCAGCAUCACAUGGAAGGUGUGCCUUGAGAUUGGCAAGCCAGUGCAUAAAAUACCAAACUCUGG
This is a long non-coding RNA of Zonotrichia albicollis (white-throated sparrow), 483 nucleotides long. The record is from Ensembl. NCBI's taxonomy places the organism in Eukaryota, Metazoa, Chordata, Aves, Passeriformes, Passerellidae.